UACGGGGGGUGCGAGCGUUGUUCGGAAUUACUGGGCGUAAAGGGCUCGUAGGUGGCCAACUAAGUCAGACGUGAAAUCCCUCAGCUUAACUGGGGAACUGCGUCUGAUACUGGAUGGCUUGAGUUUGGGAGAGGGAUGCGGAAUUCCAGGUGUAGCGGUGAAAUGCGUAGAUAUCGGGAGGAACACCUGUGGCGAAGGCGGCCACCUGGUUGGAUACUGACGCUGAGACGCGAAAGCGUGGGGAGCAAACAGG
RNAcentral lists this ribosomal RNA (253 nucleotides) under uncultured bacterium. RNAcentral's name for it is "partial 16S ribosomal RNA". It matches the Rfam family "Bacterial small subunit ribosomal RNA", at positions 524 to 776 of the family's 1533-position model. The record is from RNAcentral.